Molecule: ribosomal RNA, 498 nt
Filed under: uncultured bacterium
Lineage: Bacteria
Description: partial 16S ribosomal RNA
Rfam family: Bacterial small subunit ribosomal RNA
Source: RNAcentral
AUUGAACGCUGGCGGCAUGCCUUACACAUGCAAGUCGAACGGUAACAGGUCUUCGGAUGCUGACGAGUGGCGAACGGGUGAGUAAUACAUCGGAACGUGCCUAGUAGUGGGGGAUAACUACUCGAAAGAGUGGCUAAUACCGCAUGAGAUCUACGGAAGAAAGCAGGGGAUCGCAAGACCUUGUGCUACUAGAGCGGCCGAUGGCAGAUUAGGUAGUUGGUGGGAUAAAAGCUUACCAAGCCGACGAUCCGUAGCUGGUCUAAGAGGACGAUCAGCCACACUGGGACUGAGACACGGCCCAGACUCCUACGGGAGGCAGCAGUGGGGAAUUUUGGACAAUGGGCGAAUGCCUGAUCCAGCAAUGCCGUGUGCAGGAUGAAGGCCUUCGGGUUGUAAACUGCUUUUGUACGGAACGAAAAGCCCCGGGUUAAUACCCUGGGGUCAUGACGGUACCGUAAGAAUAAGCACUGGCUAACUACGUGCCAGCAGCCGCAGUAA